This 417-nucleotide non-coding RNA is filed under the name Nelumbo nucifera (sacred lotus). RNAcentral describes it as "Eukaryotic large subunit ribosomal RNA". It matches the Rfam family "Eukaryotic large subunit ribosomal RNA", at positions 1458 to 1852 of the family's 3401-position model. Lineage: Eukaryota; Viridiplantae; Streptophyta; Magnoliopsida; Proteales; Nelumbonaceae. The record is from Rfam by way of RNAcentral.
UAGUAAUAAAUAUUCAUAUGAGAACUUUGAAGGUCGAAGAAGGGAAAUGUUUCAUGUCAAUGACACUUGCACGUGGGUUUGUUGAUCCUAAGAGACAGGGGAAGCCCAUUAGAAAGCAUGAUAAGUGGAAGUUUUAAAAGGGAAUCAGGUUAAAAUUCCUGAACUAGGAUGUGGUGGUUGACGGUAAUGUUAGGGAGUCUAGAGACGUCAGAGGGGGCCUCGGAAAAAGUUAUCUUUUUUGUUUAAUGGCCUGUCCACCUUGGAAUCAGCUCAAUCAGAGGUAGGGGUCUAGUGGCUGGAAGAUCCCCUAUGUGCAUGUGCAUGCAUGUGCGCACACCGUGGCCCAACAUGCGUGUGCACACAUGGCCGACUGCACAUGGUGUCCCUGUGUGUGUGUGCACCCAUGACCAACUGCUC